AGGGUUCGAUUCUGGCUCAGGAUGAACGCUGGCGGCGUGCCUAACACAUGCAAGUCGAGCGAUCUCUUGGAGAGAGCGGCGGACGGGUGAGUAACGCGUGGGUAACCUGCCCUGUACACACGGAUAACAUACCGAAAGGUAUACUAAUACGGGAUAACAUAUGAAAGUCGCAUGGCUUUUGUAUCAAAGCUCCGGCGGUACAGGAUGGACCCGCGUCUGAUUAGCUAGUUGGUAAGGUAAUGGCUUACCAAGGCAACGAUCAGUAGCCGACCUGAGAGGGUGAUCGGCCACACUGGAACUGAGACACGGUCCAAACUCCUACGGGAGGCAGCAGUGGGGAAUAUUGCACAAUGGGCGAAAGCCUGAUGCCAGCAACGCCGCGUGAGCGAUGAAGGCCUUCGGGUCGUAAAGCUCUGUCCUCAAGGAAGAUAAUGACGGUACUUGAGGAGGAAGCCCCGGCUAACUACGUGCCAGCAGCGGC
RNAcentral lists this ribosomal RNA (481 nucleotides) under uncultured bacterium. RNAcentral describes it as "bacterial SSU rRNA". It matches the Rfam family "Bacterial small subunit ribosomal RNA", at positions 8 to 518 of the family's 1533-position model. The record is from RNAcentral.